CGGCAGCUUACCAUGCAGUCGAACGGUAGCAGGAGGAAGCUUGCUUUCUUGCUGACGAGUGGCGGACGGGUGAGUAAUGCUUGGGAAUCUGGCUUAUGGAGGGGGAUAACUACUGGAAACGGUAGCUAAUACCGCGUAAUAUCGAGAGAUUAAAGGGUGGGACUUUCGGGCCACCUGCCAUAAGAUGAGCCCAAGUGGGAUUAGGUAGUUGGUGGGGUAAAGGCCUACCAAGCCUGCGAUCUCUAGCUGGUCUGAGAGGAUGGCCAGCCACACUGGAACUGAGACACGGUCCAGACUCCUACGGGAGGCAGCAGUGGGGAAUAUUGCACAAUGGGGGGAACCCUGAUGCAGCCAUGCCGCGUGAAUGAAGAAGGCCUUCGGGUUGUAAAGUUCUUUCGGUGAUGAGGAAGGUGUUUUGUUUAAUAGACAAAGCAAUUGACGUUAGUCACAGAAGAAGCACCGGCUAACUCCGUGCCAGCAGCCGCGGUAAUACGGAGGGUGCGAGCGUUAAUCGGAAUAACUGGGCGUAAAGGGCACGCAGGCGGAUUGUUAAGUGAGAUGUGAAAGCCCCGGGCUUAACCUGGGAAUUGCAUUUCAGACUGGCAAUCUAGAGUAUUUUAGGGAGGGGUAGAAUUCCACGUGUAGCGGUGAAAUGCGUAGAGAUGUGGAGGAAUACCGAAGGCGAAGGCAGCCCCUUGGGAA
This 702-nucleotide ribosomal RNA is filed under the name Pasteurellaceae bacterium I51. RNAcentral describes it as "bacterial SSU rRNA". It matches the Rfam family "Bacterial small subunit ribosomal RNA", at positions 40 to 735 of the family's 1533-position model. Lineage: Bacteria; Pseudomonadati; Pseudomonadota; Gammaproteobacteria; Pasteurellales; Pasteurellaceae. The record is from RNAcentral.